UAGCUACAGGCUUAACACAUGCAAGUCGAGGGGCAGCAGGAUCUAGCAAUAGAUUGCUGGCGACCGGCGCACGGGUGAGUAACACGUAUCCAACCUGCCGAUAACUCGGGGAUAGCCUUUCGAAAGAAAGAUUAAUACCCGAUGGUAUAAUCAGACCGCAUGGUUUGAUUAUUAAAGAAUUUCGGUUAUCGAUGGGGAUGCGUUCCAUUAGGCAGUUGGUGAGGUAACGGCUCACCAAACCUUCGAUGGAUAGGGGUUCUGAGAGGAAGGUCCCCCACAUUGGAACUGAGACACGGUCCAAACUCCUACGGGAGGCAGCAGUGAGGAAUAUUGGUCAAUGGGCGCAGGCCUGAACCAGCCAAGUAGCGUGAAGGAUGACUGCCCUAUGGGUUGUAAACUUCUUUUAUAUGGGAAUAAAGUUUUCCACGUGUGGAAUUUUGUAUGUACCAUAUGAAUGAGGAUCGGCUAACUCCGUGCCAGCAGCCGCGGUAAUACGGAGGAUCCGAGCGUUAUCCGGAUUUAUUGGGUUUAAAGGGAGCGUAGGUGGACAGUUAAGUCAGUUGUGAAAGUUUGCGGCUCAACCGUAAAAUUGCAGUUGAUACUGGCUGUCUUGAGUACAGUAGAGGUGGGCGGAAUUCGUGGUGUAGCGGUGAAAUGCUUAGAUAUCACGAAGAACUCCGAUUGCGAAGGCAGCUCACUGGACUGCAACUGACACUGAUGCUCGAAAGUGUGGGUAUCAAACAGGAUUAGAUACCCUGGUAGUCCACACAGUAAACGAUGAAUACUCGCUGUUUGCGAUAUACAGUAAGCGGCCAAGCGAAAGCAUUAAGUAUUCCACCUGGGGAGUACGCCGGCAACGGUGAAACUCAAAGGAAUUGACGGGGGCCCGCACAAGCGGAGGAACAUGUGGUUUAAUUCGAUGAUACGCGAGGAACCUUACCCGGGCUUAAAUUGCAUUUGAAUAAUCUGGAAACAGGUUAGCCGCAAGGCAAAUGUGAAGGUGCUGCAUGGUUGUCGUCAGCUCGUGCCGUGAGGUGUCGGCUUAAGUGCCAUAACGAGCGCAACCCUUAUCUUUAGUUACUAACAGGUCAUGCUGAGGACUCUAGAGAGACUGCCGUCGUAAGAUGUGAGGAAGGUGGGGAUGACGUCAAAUCAGCACGGCCCUUACGUCCGGGGCUACACACGUGUUACAAUGGGGGGUACAGAAGGCAGCUACCUGGUGACAGGAUGCUAAUCCCAAAAGCCUCUCUCAGUUCGGAUCGAAGUCUGCAACCCGACUUCGUGAAGCUGGAUUCGCUAGUAAUCGCGCAUCAGCCAUGGCGCGGUGAAUACGUUCCCGGGCCUUGUACACACCGCCCGUCAAGCCAUGAAAGCCGGGGGUAAGGGAAGUACGUAACCGCAAGGAGCGUCCUAGGGUAAAC
This 1421-nucleotide ribosomal RNA is filed under the name uncultured organism. RNAcentral's name for it is "SSU rRNA". It matches the Rfam family "Bacterial small subunit ribosomal RNA". The record is from RNAcentral.